UACGUAGGGGGCAAGCGUUAUCCGGAUUUACUGGGUGUAAAGGGAGCGUAGACGGCGAUGCAAGCCAGAUGUGAAAGCCCGGGGCUCAACCCCGGGACUGCAUUUGGACCUGUAUAGCUAGAGUGUCGGAGAGGCAGGCGGAAUUCCUAGUGUAGCGGUGAAAUGCGUAGAUAUUAGGAGGAACACCAGUGGCGAAGGCGGCCUGCUGGACGAUGACUGACGUUGAGGCUCGAAAGCGUGGGGAGCAAACAGG
This 253-nucleotide ribosomal RNA is filed under the name uncultured bacterium. Its description in RNAcentral is "partial 16S ribosomal RNA". It matches the Rfam family "Bacterial small subunit ribosomal RNA", at positions 524 to 776 of the family's 1533-position model. The record is from RNAcentral.